RNAcentral lists this ribosomal RNA (486 nucleotides) under uncultured bacterium. Its description in RNAcentral is "partial 16S ribosomal RNA". It matches the Rfam family "Bacterial small subunit ribosomal RNA", at positions 30 to 507 of the family's 1533-position model. The record is from RNAcentral.
AUUGAACGCUGGCGGCAUGCCUUACACAUGCAAGUCGAACGGCAGCACGGGUGCUUGCACCUGGUGGCGAGUGGCGAACGGGUGAGUAAUACAUCGGAACAUGUCCUGUAGUGGGGGAUAGCCCGGCGAAAGCCGGAUUAAUACCGCAUACGAUCCACGGAUGAAAGCGGGGGACCUUCGGGCCUCGCGCUAUAGGGUUGGCCGAUGGCUGAUUAGCUAGUUGGUGGGGUAAAGGCCUACCAAGGCGACGAUCAGUAGCUGGUCUGAGGGGACGACCAGCCACACUGGGACUGAGACACGGCCCAGACUCCUACGGGAGGCAGCAGUGGGGAAUUUUGGACAAUGGGCGAAAGCCUGAUCCAGCAAUGCCGCGUGUGUGAAGAAGGCCUUCGGGUUGUAAAGCACUUUUGUCCGGAAAGAAAUCCUUGGCUCUAAUACAGUCGGGGGAUGACGGUACCGGAAGAAUAAGCACCGGCUAACUACGUG